UGAGGAAUAUUGGUCAAUGGGCGUAAGCCUGAACCAGCCAAGUCGCGUGAGGGAAGACGGCCCUAUGGGUUGUAAACCUCUUUUGUCGGGGAGCAAAGCCGCCCACGUGUGGGCGGAAGGAGAGUACCCGAAGAAAAAGCAUCGGCUAACUCCGUGCCAGCAGCCGCGGUAAUACGGAGGAUGCGAGCGUUAUCCGGAUUUAUUGGGUUUAAAGGGUGCGUAGGCGGCAUGGUAAGUCAGCGGUCAAAUCGAGGGGCUCAACCCCUUUCCGCCGUUGAAACUGCCGUGCUUGAGUGGGCGAGAAGUAUGCGGAAUGCGUGGUGUAGCGGUGAAAUGCAUAGAUAUCACGCAGAACUCCGAUUGCGAAGGCAGCAUACCGGCGCCCGACUGACGCUGAGGCACGAAAGCGUGGGGAUCGAACAGGAUUAGAUACCC
RNAcentral lists this ribosomal RNA (435 nucleotides) under uncultured bacterium. RNAcentral's name for it is "bacterial SSU rRNA". It matches the Rfam family "Bacterial small subunit ribosomal RNA", at positions 355 to 787 of the family's 1533-position model. The record is from RNAcentral.